RNAcentral lists this ribosomal RNA (527 nucleotides) under uncultured bacterium. RNAcentral's name for it is "bacterial SSU rRNA". It matches the Rfam family "Bacterial small subunit ribosomal RNA", at positions 8 to 526 of the family's 1533-position model. The record is from RNAcentral.
AGAGUUUGAUCAUGGCUCAGAUUGAACGCUGGCGGCAGGCCUAACACAUGCAAGUCGAGCGGUAACACAGGGAGCUUGCUCCUGGGUGACGAGCGGCGGACGGGUGAGUAAUGUCUGGGAAACUGCCUGAUGAAGGGGGAUAACUACUGGAAACGGUAGCUAAUACCGCAUACGCCCUACGGGGGAAAGCAGGGGACCUUCGGGCCUUGCGCGAUUGGAUAUGCCCAGGUGGGAUUAGCUAGUUGGUGAGGUAAUGGCUCACCAAGGCGACGAUCCCUAGCUGGUCUGAGAGGAUGACCAGCCACACUGGAACUGAGACACGGUCCAGACUCCUACGGGAGGCAGCAGUGGGGAAUAUUGCACAAUGGGCGCAAGCCUGAUGCAGCCAUGCCGCGUGUAUGAAGAAGGCCUUCGGGUUGUAAAGUACUUUCAGCGAGGAGGAAGGCAUUAAGGUUAAUAACCUUGGUGAUUGACGUUACUCGCAGAAGAAGCACCGGCUAACUCCGUGCCAGCCGCCGCGGUAAUUC